UCUCCGUAGGUGAACCUGCGGAGGGAUCAUUACAGAGUUCUCGCCCUCGCGGGUAGACCUCCCACCCACUGUUAUCGUUACUGUGUUGCUUUGGCGGGCCGCCGGGCCCCGCUCGGCCGCCGGCUCCGGCUGGCGCGCGCCCGCCAGAGGCCCAGAAAACUCUGAAUGUUAGUGUCGUCUGAGUACUAUAUAAUAGUUAAAACUUUCAACAACGGAUCUCUUGGUUCUG
This 229-nucleotide unclassified non-coding RNA is filed under the name plant metagenome. Its description in RNAcentral is "partial contains small subunit ribosomal RNA, internal transcribed spacer 1, and 5.8S ribosomal RNA". The record is from RNAcentral.